UAUUCAGGAAGGUGUUACUU
RNAcentral lists this microRNA (20 nucleotides) under Macaca mulatta (Rhesus monkey). RNAcentral describes it as "mml-miR-506-5p". Its record names the gene mml-miR-506-5p. The record is from miRBase by way of RNAcentral. Lineage: Eukaryota; Metazoa; Chordata; Mammalia; Primates; Cercopithecidae. RNAcentral also lists the same sequence under 2 other names.